Molecule: ribosomal RNA, 496 nt
Filed under: uncultured bacterium
Lineage: Bacteria
Description: partial 16S ribosomal RNA
Rfam family: Bacterial small subunit ribosomal RNA
Source: RNAcentral
AUGAACGCUGGCGGCGUGCCUAAUACAUGCAAGUCGAGCGAACAGAUGAGGAGCUUGCUCCUCUGACGUUAGCGGCGGACGGGUGAGUAACACGUGGAUAACCUACCUAUAAGACUGGGAUAACUUCGGGAAACCGGAGCUAAUACCGGAUAAUAUAUUGAACCGCAUGGUUCCAUAGUGAAAGACGGUUUUGCUGUCACUUAUAGAUGGAUCCGCGCCGCAUUAGCUAGUUGGUAAGGUAACGGCUUACCAAGGCAACGAUGCGUAGCCGACCUGAGAGGGUGAUCGGCCACACUGGAACUGAGACACGGUCCAGACUCCUACGGGAGGCAGCAGUAGGGAAUCUUCCGCAAUGGGCGAAAGCUUGACGGAGCAACGCCGCGUGAGUGAUGAAGGUCUUCGGAUCGUAAAACUCUGUUAUUAGGGAAGAACAAAUGUGUAAGUAACUAUGCACGUCUUGACGGUACCUAAUCAGAAAGCCACGGCUAACUACGUG